CCCUUAGAUGUUCUGGGCCGCACGCACGCUACACUGAUGCAUUCAACGAGUCUAAAACCUGCUCUGAUAGGGGAGGGUAAUCUUUUGAAUGUGCAUCGUGAUUGGGAUAGAUGAUUGCAAUUUUUCAUCUUCAACGAGGAAUGCCUAGUAAACGCAAGUCAUCAGCUUGCAUUGAUUACGUCCCUGCCCUUUGUACACACCGCCCGUCGCUCCUACCGAUUGAAUGAUCCGAUGAAUAUCUUGGAUUGAGGAUGCAAGUAGGUUCGCCUAUCUUCAUCUUCGAGAAGUGAAGUAAAUCUUAUCAUUUAGAGGAAGGAGAAGUCGUAACA
Molecule: ribosomal RNA, 329 nt
Filed under: uncultured eukaryote
Lineage: Eukaryota
Description: partial 18S ribosomal RNA
Rfam family: Eukaryotic small subunit ribosomal RNA
Source: RNAcentral